AGAGUUUGAUCAUGGCUCAGGAUGAACGCUAGCGGCAGGCUUAACACAUGCAAGUCGAGGGGUAUAUUUCUUCGGAGAUAGAGACCGGCGCACGGGUGCGUAACGCGUAUGCAAUCUACCUUUUACAGAGGGAUAGCCCAGAGAAAUUUGGAUUAAUACCUCAUAGUAUUAUGAAAUGGCAUCAUUUUAUAAUUAAAGUCACAACGGUAAAAGAUGAGCAUGCGUCCCACUAGCUAGUUGGUAAGGUAACGGCUUACCAAGGCUACGAUGGGUAGGGGUCCUGAGAGGGAGAUCCCCCACACUGGUACUGAGACACGGACCAGACUCCUACGGGAGGCAGCAGUGAGGAAUAUUGGUCAAUGGACGCAAGUCUGAACCAGCCAUGCCGCGUGCAGGAUGACGGUCCUAUGGAUUGUAAACUGCUUUUGCACAGGAAGAAACAACUCUACGUGUAGAGUCUUGACGGUACUGUGAGAAUAAGGAUCGGCUAACUCCGUGCCAGCAGCCGCGGUAAUACGGAGGAUCCAAGCGUUAUCCGGAAUCAUUGGGUUUAAAGGGUCCGUAGGCGGUUUAGUAAGUCAGUGGUGAAAGCCCAUCGCUCAACGGUGGAACGGCCAUUGAUACUGCUAGACUUGAAUUAUUAGGAAGUAACUAGAAUAUGUAGUGUAGCGGUGAAAUGCUUAGAGAUUACAUGGAAUACCAAUUGCGAAGGCAGGUUACUACUAAUUGAUUGACGCUGAUGGACGAAAGCGUGGGUAGCGAACAGGAUUAGAUACCCUGGUAGUCCACGCCGUAAACGAUGGAUACUAGCUGUUGGGCGCAAGUUCAGUGGCUAAGCGAAAGUGAUAAGUAUCCCACCUGGGGAGUACGUUCGCAAGAAUGAAACUCAAAGGAAUUGACGGGGGCCCGUACAAGCGGUGGAGCAUGUGGUUUAAUUCGAUGAUACGCGAGGAACCUUACCAAGGCUUAAAUGUAGAUUGACCGAUUUGGAAACAGAUCUUUCGCAAGACAAUUUACAAGGUGCUGCAUGGUUGUCGUCAGCUCGUGCCGUGAGGUGUCAGGUUAAGUCCUAUAACGAGCGCAACCCCUGUUGUUAGUUGCCAGCGAGUCAUGUCGGGAACUCUAACGAGACUGCCAGUGCAAACUGUGAGGAAGGUGGGGAUGACGUCAAAUCAUCACGGCCCUUACGCCUUGGGCUACACACGUGCUACAAUGGCCGGUACAGAGAGCAGCCACUGGGUGACCAGGAGCGAAUCUACAAAACCGGUCACAGUUCGGAUCGGAGUCUGCAACUCGACUCCGUGAAGCUGGAAUCGCUAGUAAUCGGAUAUCAGCCAUGAUCCGGUGAAUACGUUCCCGGGCCUUGUACACACCGCCCGUCAAGCCAUGGAAGCUGGGGGUGCCUGAAGUCGGUGACCGCAAGGAGCUGCCUAGGGUAAAACUGGUAACUAGGGCUAAGUCGUAACAAGGUA
Molecule: ribosomal RNA, 1472 nt
Filed under: metagenome
Description: bacterial SSU rRNA
Rfam family: Bacterial small subunit ribosomal RNA
Source: RNAcentral